AACAAAUAUUAAAGGCAAUGCCUGCCCAGUGAACAAUUAAACGGCCGCGGUACCCUAACCGUGCAAAGGUAGCAUAAUCAUUUGUCUAUUAACUGUAGACCUGUAUGAAAGGCAAAAUGAGGGUUUAACUGUCUCUUAUGAUAAAUCUAUUAAACUGAUCUCCCAGUAAAAAAGCUGUGAUACUCCCAUAAGACCAGAAGACCCUGUGAAGCUUUAACUAAACUAUUAAACCAAAUAAUAACUACUUUAGGUUGGGGCGACCUUGGAAAAAAAAAGAACUUCCAACAUAACAAAUAUCACCAAGGCCUACAAGCCAAUUAACGACCCAGUAACACUGAUAAUCGAACUAAGUUACUCCAGGGAUAACAGCGCCAUCUUCUUCAAGAGCCCAUAUCAAAAAGAAGGUUUACGACCUCGAUGUUGGAUCAGGACACCCCAAUGGUGCAACCGCUAUUAAAGGUUCGUUUGUUCAACGAUUAAUGUCCU
RNAcentral lists this ribosomal RNA (486 nucleotides) under Rhabdophis nuchalis (Hubei keelback). Its description in RNAcentral is "partial large subunit ribosomal RNA". It matches the Rfam family "Bacterial large subunit ribosomal RNA", at positions 1838 to 2597 of the family's 2925-position model. Lineage: Eukaryota; Metazoa; Chordata; Lepidosauria; Squamata; Natricidae. The record is from RNAcentral.